AACGAACGCUGGCGGCAGGCCUAACACAUGCAAGUCGGGCGCGCCCUUCGGGUUGAGCGCCGGACGGGGGAUUAACGCGGGGUAACGUGCCCUUUUCUACGGAAUAGCCUCGGAAACCUGAGAGUAAUACCUUAUACGCCCUUGGGGGGAAAGAUUUAUCGGAAAAGGAUCGGCCCGCGUUGGAUUAGGUAGUGGGUGGGGUAAUGGCCUACCAAGCCGACGAUCCAUAGCUGGUUUGAGAGGAUGAUCAGCCACACUGGGACUGAGACACGGCCCAGACUCCUACGGGAGGCAGCAGUGGGGAAUCUUAGACAAUGGGGGCAACCCUGAUCUAGCCAUGCCGCGUGAGUGAUGAAGGCCUUAGGGUUGUAAAGCUCUUUCAGCUGGGAAGAUAAUGACGUUACCAGCAGAAGAAGCCCCGGCUAACUCCGUG
This 433-nucleotide ribosomal RNA is filed under the name uncultured bacterium. Its description in RNAcentral is "partial 16S ribosomal RNA". It matches the Rfam family "Bacterial small subunit ribosomal RNA", at positions 29 to 507 of the family's 1533-position model. The record is from RNAcentral.